CAACCCUCAAGCCUGGCUUGGUGAUGGGGCACUGCCUUGUGUAAAAACGAGGCAGGCCCUGAAAUUCAGUGGCGAGCUCGCCAGGACUCCGAGCGCAGUAGUUAAACCCUCGCUUUGGAAGGACUGGCGGUGCCCUGCCGUUAAACCCCCAACUCUUGAAA
This 161-nucleotide unclassified non-coding RNA is filed under the name uncultured Diaporthe. Its description in RNAcentral is "sequence contains ITS2". The record is from RNAcentral. Lineage: Eukaryota; Fungi; Ascomycota; Sordariomycetes; Diaporthales; Diaporthaceae.